This 19612-nucleotide long non-coding RNA is filed under the name Homo sapiens (human). RNAcentral's name for it is "non-protein coding lnc-SHC3-10:1". Lineage: Eukaryota; Metazoa; Chordata; Mammalia; Primates; Hominidae. The record is from RNAcentral.
ACUCCCUCCACUGCGCCCCGCUCACACUCCCGCACCCUCCCCACACUGCGCCCUGCCCACACUCCUGCACUCUCUCCCCACUACGCCCCCUACCACAUCCCGCGCCCCCGCCCCCAUCCCCACUGCGCCCCGCCCACACUCCCGCGCCCUCGCGCCCCUGGGCUCUCCCGUCGUGGGCACUCUCCCCAGCGCUUCUACACUUUCUCCCGACGCAGCGCCCUGCCCUCCGUCCCGCCCCACCUAUUGCCUCCUGCGCUUCCCCCACACCGUGCUCUUCCUCCUCCUUCACUUCCUCCCACUCCUCGCGCUCCCCUUCAGCGCCCCACGCAGCCCCUCCCCCAAAACCCCGCGUCGCUCUCCUUCCCUCCUGGCCUCUCUUCCAGUCUCGCGCUCCCUGCCGGGCCCCGCCGCAGGUGUCCCGCAGCCGUCUCCCCAGGGCAUUUGAAUCUUGCCUUGGAGCUCUUGCCGCGCGGCCCAGCACCCUGGAAGAGGCAUCAGGGAGGAUGGGACGACGAGGAAGGGGAAGGGUAAUUGGGCUUGGAGCGGGCUUGGGCGGGGUGGUAGGGAACCUGAGCUCCGUUGGUUCAGGGUGUUUGCCCCUGACAUCCUGUGGCCUGGCUGGGAGGGUUCGUGAAGUUCAGGAAGAAAUUGGGAGCAGUCCUUACAGAAUGUUUUAUUUGAAGAACCAAGAGUAUUAAUUUUUUGGCGAGCACUGUUGUAGGCCCUGGGAAUUCAGCAGUGAGAAAAAUAAUUUCAACUCCCUGCCAGACCCGGGCUAGAAGGAGGCAAGCGAGCGAGGCACUCGCAUAGGGGCAAAAUUUAAGGGCGCGACAAAAAAACUCAGUAGUCAAGGUAAAUAAUGUUUUAAUACAAUAUCUUAAAAAGUCAAAAUGAAUGCAAAAAAAGUUUAUAAUGAACAAAAUAUCAAAAACUUAAAGACAGUGAAUGAAACCAAAAUAUGCCAUCCUAAAAUAUGCCGCUUUGGUAUAUUGAUUAUUUUGAGCGAGAGGCACUUGAAAAAUAGCAAAUGCAGAGAGACGUUCUCCCCUUACCUGUCUAAAGACGGAACCUCCAAAAGAAACUGAUUGUCGUAAAUUCCCUCCCGGGAGGAUGGACUCUUAUCACAGCAGAAGUCCACACCACACCUAGACAAACUUUGUCACAAACUCAUAAAGACUUAUGCAUCUUUCCUAAAAAUCAGUUACUCUCCCCUAAGUGGCCUACACCAGCUUCCAGUUCCCCAAUUUUAGAAGCUCUCAAAGCUCACUGGUUUGGGGGGUUUUCACCUAGUUUCCUGCAAUGCCCCCAUGCAGGUGAUAUUAAAGAUUAAUAAAUGUGUAUUCCCGUUCCCCCCGUUCAUCUGCCCGUUGGCAGUUAAUUUCAUAGAGCCAGCUAUGGAACUGGGGAGGACAGAGAGAAGGUCUUUGCUCUCCUAAGACAAGAUGGAUCCCCCACUGACUUUGGACUCCCGUCACGUUCACCGACCCCUGAGUCCUGCUCCUGUGCCUGCCUGGAGCUUAUGUUCUAACGGGCACAAACAAUAAAUAAGGAAGAUAUUUUGCAGGUGCUAUGCCAAAAGAAGAGCCAUGAGGAGGGGCGCAGGUUUUUGUUUUGUUUUAUUUUGGUUUGGUUUGGUUGGUUGGUUGAGAUGGAGUCUCGCUCUUGUUGCCCAGGCUGGAGUGCAAUGGCGUGAUCUCGGCUCACUGCAACCUCCGCCUCCCGGGUUCAAGCAAUUCUCCCGCCUCAGCCUCCUGAGUAGCUGGGAUUACUGGCGCGUGCCACCACGCCCAGCUAAUUUUUGUAUUUUUAGUAGAGACGGGGUUUCAUCAUGUUAGCCAGGCUGGUCUCAAACUCCUGACUUCAGGUGAUCUACCCACCUCUGCCUCCCAAAGUGCUGGAAUUACAGGCUUGAGCCACCGAGGGGCGCAGUUUUAAUCUAGCGGUGAGAGGAGUCAGGGAAGGUGAAAUUUGCGCUUCCUGAGGACCCGCCUGCCGGCCCGGGCUCCCCCAGUCUCGCCGUUAAAUGAACGGAAAUUGGCGGACGCCGUUGCCUGCAGGCACAGCCCGUCGGCUCGGUUGCGUAAAUGUACUUAGCAGCCAAAGCUCAGUGGAAACCCUGCGGGAGGAUUGAUUGGCGCUCUUAGGUGAAGCAGGCUGUCAAGAGCCCCGAUUCACUGUCCUCUGGGGAAAAUGGAUAGACAAAUCGGAGGAAAAAAUUGAGAGGAACUGUGAGCAGUAUAAAUCUUGCAUGAGGAGGCCCCUGACUUACGUUAAAACUCAGAGGUAAGAGGAAUGAAAUGCAGCUAAGCUCUCAAAAUCAUCCAGACUAUUUUGUUUUGUCAUCUUAUCCUUGAACACACAAUGAGCCAAAGUAGACAGCAUUCCUAAUUAGUUGACGGUGCCACCCUCCCGAGAAAAUUAACGGUCAUUCGCAUUAAUACUGCCUGCCCUGGGGAACUCACCCAACCUCCAUCCAGGAAUGGAUCGCACUUCCUGCUGCCGAUGUCGGGGGCAGGGCGGCUUCCUAGGCAUGCAGACCCUCAGAGGCACAGGGCCCUGCACUCACUUGGGGCUCAGUGUUCUGCGGUUGCAGUCUUUGUUGUUUUGUUUUUUGUUUAGAAACUGAAUCUCACUCUCUUACCCAGGCUGGAGUGCAGUAGUGGGAUCAUAGCUCACUGCAGCUUCCAACUCCUGGGCUCCAGGGAUCCUCCCGCCUCAGCCUCCUGAGUAGCUAGGACUAUAGCCACAUGCCACUAUGCAAGGCUAAUUGUUUUUAUUAUUAUUAUUAUUAUUUUUUAGAGAUGGGGUCUCCCUCUGUUGCCCAGCCUGGUGAUUUUUUUUUUUUUUUUGGAUGGAGUCUCGCUCUGUGGCCCAGGCUGGAGUGCAAUGGCGUGAUCUCAGCUCACUGCAACCUCCACCUCCCAGGUUCAAGUGAUUCUUCUGCCUCAGCCUCCCGUGUAGCUGGGACUACAGGUGCACGCCACCACGCCUGGCUAAUUUUUUUAUUUUUAGUAGAGACGGGGUUUCACCAUAUUGACCAAGCUGGUCCCUAACUCCUGACCUCGUGAUCCGCCCGCCUCAGCCUCCCAAAGUGCUGGGAUUACAGGCGUGAGCCACCGCACCCAGCCAAAAUUCUUAAUUUAUCUUUGAAUUUGUGUGGUAUAUGAGAGGUCUUGGACAGUGGCACAUAUGUGAGUGUUUGGACCCUAGCUCAUGUGUGCUCCCACCUGCCACUGCCUCCCUACCUCCCCAAGACAGGUUCUUCUUCUUAUUAUUAUUAUUUUGAGACUGAGUCCCACUCUGUCACCCAGGCUAGAGUGCAGUGCUGUGAUCUCAGCUCACUGCAACCUCCGCUUCCUGGCUUCAAGCAAUUCUCCCUGCCUCAGCGUCCCGAGUAGGUGGGAUUACAGACACCUGCCACCACGCCCAACUAAUUUUUGUAUUUUUAGUAGACACGGUUUCACCAUGUUGGCCAGGCUGGACUUGAACUCCUGACCUCAGGUAAUCCGCCUGCCUUGGCCUCUCAAAGUGCUGGGAUUACAAGAGUGAGCCACUGUGCCCAGCCCAAGAUAGGUUCUUGACUGCUCAAUCCUCUCCUCCUUUUGGUGUCCUGGGCCACACCUGGACUCCCCAUCUCCACCUCCACCCAGGAACCGCUAGUGUCCUCUGUGGUCACUGGGGGCCCAGGUGGUGGGGGGAAGACUGACGUCCGAUGCCUUUGCCCCACAAGGUCUCAGGGUAGGUACGGCAUAGGAAUAGCUGGUGGCCUGCAGGGCCCCCAGACAAGGGUGAAAGUUGACAUUCACCCUGUGCCCAAGAAAGUAUGACAUUCAAUGGCAAAUAAAAGACCAUGCUAGAAAGAGAAAAGCUUUUGCAUAUUAGUGCCUUUGCUGGCACUUUCCUUUCCUGCUUGUUGAACAAGGGGCACUGCAUUUCCAUUGCUGGGGAGAGCAGCCCACUCAGUGUUAAUGGAAAAACCAAACUCUGUAAACUAUUUGAAAGAGGUUUAUUCUGAGCUAGUAUGAGUGACAACAGCCCAGGGAAAGACAUAAACUGAAAAAGCCUUGAGUCAGUGGUCUCAGGGCAGUUAGAUCGCAACUCUGUUUUACACAUUUCAGGGAAGCAGAAGUUAUGAAAAAGUCAUAAAUCAAUACAUGAAGAUUAGACAUUGAUUUGGCCCAGAAAGGCAGAAUAUGUUAAAGUGGGGGCUUCCUGGUCAUAGGUCACUCCAGAGUCUUCAAUUUGCAAUUGGUUAAAAGAGUAAAACUUUGUCUAAAAAUUUUGAAUCAGCAGAAAGGAAUGUUUUCAGUUAAGGAAGUCUGUUAACCAAACCACUGGGUCAGAGUGACCCAUGGGGUGUGUGACUUAAUCCUUGCCUGACAUGGACUUAGGUCCUAUUUAUCAUUUGCUACCUUAUUGUCACAAAGAGUCUGUUUUGUUAGUCUUAUGAUCUGUAUUUUAACAUUUAUGCUGGUCAGUUCUGCCUAAACUCCAAAAGGGAGGGCAUGUAACAAGGCAUGAGUCCAACCUCCCUUCCCAUUGUGGCCAGGAAUUUCGUUUUUAACUUUUUUCUGGGAUCCUCUUGGCCAACAGGGGGUCUGUUCAAUGAGUAGAGGGUUAGGAUUUUAUAUUUAGUUUACAUCAGGGACCUGGGUGAAGCGAGUAAGCCCUCCAGGGAGGUGUGAUCAUGGGGGAACAGAGUCAGCCACCCCCAUCCCAGAUUCUCCUUGGACUGCCUGCUCUGAGCGGCUGUGUGUAGACAGCAAGGAAGAGGGGUCUUCGUCAGAUGCGUGCACCAGAGACUCCAGAACAGCUCAGCCUGGCUCACUCAGUAAAGGGCAUUCUCAAGGGUCAUUGCUGACUCUUCCGGGGCAGCCAGUCUUCAAAUGGACUUUCCCAAACCCCUUCCUAUUGCAGAAAGCUUGUGUCAUUUGCCUCCAAAUGCUGUCCCCCUGACCUCUCCCUGGGGAGGGAGUGGGCUGCAGGUGCCACAGGAUGCAGCAUGAAGCCCUGCAUUCUCCCACCGCUGCUGGAGCCAAGUUCUCCUUCAUGUUUCUCUCUGCACAACACACACAGGAACACUCACAAAUGCAGUCCUGGAAACAGGAUUAGGUGGCCCCUACUUUCCUAGCUGGGAUAUGCAAAGCCACUUUCAUACCAAACUUCCUUCCAGGGCAUCUAAAGGUGACAUGAGUGUGGGCAUCUGUAAGCAGCUUUACUUGCCUUGGACAACCACAGGGAAACUGGGCAGUGAGUCCCACUCCAGAUGCUGGCCGGAGAGACCCCAGUGAAGGCACCCUCAGGCCUGCCCUCCCUCCCUGAGCCCCUCUCCCCUCCCCGCUGCCCCUGAUUUAAGGGUAGUCCUUUCUGCAUUUCCUCCCGAGAGCACGAUAAUAACUCACUGCUUGACCAACUUCAGACAGACUCCUCCGGCACUUUUUUCAGCUAGGCCUCAUCCUUGGACCCCGUGCUCAGCCUGCCUGAGCCAGUCUUAGCAAAGAAUCCUGUUAAGUCCUCUUCUGCCUUUAGUAUCCAAUCAUCCUGGCCUGCCUGCAGCAGGUGUCCUGUUAAGUUAGUUUAGCAAGAUACCCCCCUACCGUCAAGGUCCCCUCUGUUUUCCAUCUGCCAACCCCCCACCUCCACCCUGUUCCUGGGCUGUAAAUCCCCACUUGUCCUUGUGUUGGGAAUUGUGCUCGGCGCUUUCCUUUUGCAGUAGUGCUCAACAGAGUCUGUCUUUUUGCCUUGGAUAGUGUUCAGUUCUAUUUCUCAUUAACAGUUAUGAAGGGCUGUGACACCUUGCUUGGCUUCUAGUCUUGACAUAGACUAAAAGGCAGAAGGUUUCCAGAGCUCACGCUGGAUGGCUGGGCAGAUGAGGUCUUCAGAGACUCUCCAGGGAGGUACGGCUCUGCCUUUCUACUCAGUAUGCAAGCUCCCCAGACUUCUGAAGAGGGAUGUUUCUCCUUAGAGAAAGUCUCCCUGAAUGUGGGUAUUUCAUAAGUUCUUGGACCAGUUCUGCUCUUCUCAGUCCUGCUUUUUGUCAACAUACAUUGAAUCACUUCUCCCUGGCAAAAGAGCAGCAUGUGAAGAAAAUGUGAUCCUUGGUGGUUUGACAUGAAAUUGACUUUUUCUUCUAGCAACACUUAUGAAUAUUCAAAUACAAUUAUGGAAAAGAUUUUUUGCACUGAUCAGCAUAACAAACAAAUUAGACAUCCCAGUGUGCAAAUAUAACUUUCUGAAUUUCCUAGUUUUAAAUAUUCCAGUGGCCAGGAUACCCUAUCCAGAGGAAGCAGGACCGUCUCAGCUGACCAGGGCCCUUGCCUGCUAAUAGCAUCAUGCAUACCUUGUUUCUUCAUGAGGCUGCUUGCCCGAGUUCCAAUCCACCAGGAAUUCAUCUUGUAUCAUAGCUGAUGGAUCCCGUGUCUCGUUUCUAAGUUGGAGCAUCACUUUGCAGCUCCCAACCAGGGCCAGCCACAAAAUUUGAAAGGCCCAGUGCAAAAUAAAAAUGCAGAGCCCCUUGUUCAAAAAGCAGGAAAAGAAUGGGCCAGCAAAGGAACUAAAAUAAACGAAAGCUUUUCCCUUUCUUCCAUGGUCUCUCUUUUGACCUAUCAUGGUGUUUUUAUUUGCUACUGAAUAUCAUGCUUUCUUGGGACAGGGUGAGUGUCAACUGUCACACUUGCCCAGGGGCCCUGCCGAGUGACUUGGUGGGUACACAGUCCACCAGCUGCUUGCAUGGCCACGCCCACCCUGAGAUGCCACGGGUAGUGUAGUAAAAGCAUCUGAUGUCAACCCCACACCCCUCCACACAUACACACUCAGGUUCCCGCAGACCAUGGAGGGCACCAGCGGUUGCUGGGUGAGGGUGGGGAUGGGGAGGCCAUGUGGGGCCCAGGACACCAAAGGGAGGGAGACGAGCAGUCAAUAAUGUGCCUGGGAGAGGUGGCGGACCAGCAGCAGAUGGGAGCACACAUGAGGCAGGCUCCAAGUGCUCACGUAUGCUCCACUGUCCAAUGAGGCCUCACUUACACCACACAAAUUCAAAGAUAAAAUAAAGUUUUUUUUGUUUUGUUUUGUUUUGUUUUGUUUUGGAGACAAGAGUCUCACUCUGUCACCCAGGCUAGAGUGCAGUGGCGCAAUCUUGGCUCACUGCAACUUCCACCUUCCAGGUUCAAGUGAUUCUCCUGCCUCAGCCUCCCAAACAGCUGGGGCUACAGGUGUCCACCACCACACCUGGCUAAUUUUUUGUAUUUUUAGUAGAGAUGGGGUUUCUCCAUGCUGGCCAGGCUGGUCUCAAACUCCUGACCUCAAGUGAUCCGCCCCCCUCGGCCUCCUAAAGUGCUGGGAUUAGAGGCAUGAGCCACCGUGCCCAGCCUGAUAAAAUAAUUAAGAAUGUCAAGACAGCAAUCACAGAGCACUAAACCCCAAGUGCAGGGCCCUGUGCCUCUGAGGGGCUGCAUGGCCACGAAGCCACCCUGCUCCAGCAUUGGCAGCAGGAAAUACAAUCCAUUCCUGGAUGGAGGUUGGGUUAGUUCCUCAGGGCUGCUGUAACAAAGACAACCUGGGUGGCUCCAAACAACAGAAAUGGGCUAUCUCAUAGUUCCAGAGGCCAGAAGUCUGACAUCAGCGUGGUGCAGGGCCGUGCUCCCUCUGAAACCUUAGGAAGUCCUUGCUUGCCUCUUCCUGGCUUCUGGUGGCUGCAGCAAUCUUUGGAGUUCCUUGGCUUGUGGCUGUGUCACUCCAAUCCUAGGUCUUCACCGGUCUCCUUUUUAUAAGAACACAGUCACAUUGGGUCAGCGGCCCACCCUGCUCCAAUGUGACCUAACUUUAACUAUUACAUCUGCAAGGAUCCUGUUUCCAAAUAAGGUCACAUUUUGAGGUCCUGAGAGUUAGGACUUCAGAAUGGCUCAUCUUUGUGGGGGAUGCACAACCCAUAAUAGAGGUGUGGAGGAAGGAGAGUUUCUUCAAGGGGCAGGACUGGGAAAGACUUUGUAAGGAGGCUGGUCCUUGAAAGAGGUGGCAGGAGCGGGGCCACAGCAGGUUGGGAGAGGGAAGAGUGAGCUUCUCAGUUGGGCCACCAUGAGGGUGGCUGUCACUGGGUGCAGACAGCCGACCCCACUGUCAAGUUCUAGGGCUGGGCACACUGUUGCCCAGGAAGCAGGAGCUGGUCAAACCCCUAUGGGGGUUUCCUAGGAGAUAAACCCCACGGCCCAGGUAGGGCACGACAGAACAGACUGUAUGGGGACAAGAGGUUCAAUUGGCAGGACUCUUGGUAACACAAGGAAGGGUGGAAAUGCAGAGGGAACAAGCCAUGACUGUCUGCUCUGCAAACAUAACUUGUCACAUUAAAAUCACCCACUCUCUGCCUGGGCGCGGUGGCUCAUGCCUAUAAUCCCAGCACUUUGGGAGGCCAAGGCAGGUGGAUCACAAGGUCAGGAGAUUGAGACCAUCCUGGCCAACAUGGUGAAACCUCGUCUCUACUAAAAAUACAAAAAUUAGCUGGGCAUGGUGGUGUGCACCUGCAAUCCCAGCUACUUGGGAGGCUGAGGCAGAAGAAUCGCUUGAACCCGGGAGGCAGAGGUUGCAGUGAGCCAAGAUUGCACUACUGCAUUCUAGCCUGGUGACAGAGCAAGACUCCAUCGCAAAAAAAAAAAAAAAGAGGCACCUGAAAGAUGCUUCGCUAUGACAUAGAACACAUUUCUAUAGCUUGUAUUUUUGAAAACAUGUUUACCAGAUGCCCAGGGCUUUUGUUUUUGGUGUUCUGUUUUGUUCUGCUUUUCCAGCAUUUUUCCAGCAGCAUCCUACAGAUAUUUCCAACAGUCACCGUCACUUCAUCACACUCCCCAAAACUAACCACGCCAGCUACUCCUAAUGAUGACAGCAGCAAGCCCCCUAGCCCGAAGGCCUUUUCAUUUCAGAACAAAACCCUUGAUAUAGACACCAUUCAGUUAUCUGUUAAGCCUGACCAGAGAACUACCAUCGCCAAGUCAGAAAAUCACAAAAACCCUAUAGUCCUAACCCACGGUUGAAAAUUCAGUCCAGGUGCAGCGGCUCAUGCCCAAAUCUCAGCAAUUUGUUAGAUCAAGGCAGGAGGAUCACUUAAGCCCAGGAGUUCGAGACCAGCCUGGGCAACAUAGCAAGACCGCCCCAUCUCUACAAAAACAAAAAAGAAGAAAAUUCAGUCUUUAACGUAGCAUGCAUCUGUACGUAAGUGUGUGUGUGGUGGUGUGUAUAUGAGUGUUGUGUGUGUAUGUACAUGUGCAUAAGGGUUAUAUGAGUGUAUAUAUAUGCAUGUGUGUCCCAGCUUCCAAACCCCAUGAAUGGCCCCUCUAGGACUCGGGGCUAGGUCUUGCCCGCUCGUGGAAGCCUCCUUUGCUCCUCCCUCACUCUGCAGUCGCAGCCUGGCACAGUCAUGGGCUCAGUCCAUGAGAGGCUUCUCUCCCCCUGUAACAGGGAAGAGGUCACUCAGUGGGAAUGGCCAGGGUGGUGGCUUGCAGAGUGCAGGGCAGGGCCCCACCCUUGGGUUAUGCCUAUUUCGUUUCUAGAGCCAAACCUGCUCUUGGACCUUUUUAAAAGAACCUAUAUACACCGCCCCCCGACCCCCCGCCAUCCCCUGUCCCCUCUGAGAAAGACUUUCUGUUGCUUGGAGCCGAAACACCUGACUGCUGACCCAGAGGGGAUGUUCAUGCCCCAAGUCCUAUCACAUCCUCAUAAAAUGUAUUAUUUCUCCAAUUUAAGUCAUCUCCAAAGACCUCAUUUCAUGUGAGGGGAAAUUUUUUUUUUUUGAGACGGACUCUCGCUCUGUCGCCCAGGCUGGAGUGCAGUGGCGCGAUCUUGGCUCACCGCAAGCUCCGCCUCCUGGGUUCACGCCAUUCUCCUCCCUCACCCUUCCGAGUAUCUGGGACUACAGGCGCCCACCACCGCGCCCGGCUAAUUUUUUGUAUUUUUUUUAGUAGAGACGGGGUUUCACCGGGGUCUCAAUCUCCUGACCUCGUGAUCCACCUGCCUCAGCCUCCUAAAGUGCUGGGAUUACAGGCGUGAGCCACUGUGCCCGGCCGAGGGGAAAUUUGAAGAAAGAAGGAGCUGUACAAAAAUUGUGUCAACAGGAAAUAGCUGUUCAUGUCAGGGUGAGGUGGGGGACUCCAUUGACCCACACAGCUUUUGACUUGGAACUUUUUCCUUUGAAUUUGUAUCCCCUGAGUAUAACCCAAUAGUAUUCAACUUUUGAGACCUGUCAUUGUUUUAUCAUUUUAUCAGAAUGUUUGUCCAUGUCCCCUCCCUCCCCCACUCCUGGCCAGUUACUUGCUUUUAAGAGAUUUGGGCAGGGCGUGGUGGCUCAUGCCUAUAAUCCCAGCACUUUGGGACGCUGAGGCGGGCGGAUCACCUGAGGUCAGGAGAUCGAGACUAGCCUGGCCAACAUGGUGAAAACCCAUCUCUAGUAAAAAUACAAAAAUUAGCUGGGCAUGGUGGCAGGCACCUGUAAUCUCAGCUACUCAGGAGGCUGAGGCAGGAGAAUCACUGGAACCCGAGAGGCGGAGGUUGCAGUGAGCCGAGAUCGUGCCAUUGCACUCCAGCCUGGGCGACAGAGCAAGACUCCUUCUCAAAAAAAAAUAAGAAAAAAAAGAGAAAGAGAGAGAGGUUUGAUGAAUUCUUAAAGGCCAGCCCCUGGGGUGGAGGGUACCAUGGCUAAGAUGCCUCCAUGCCACACGAAAGGUCAUUAGGGAUACAGGACUCCCUGGGCUCCUUCCUGGGCCAUUUUUAUCAUGUGCAAAUGCCCAGGGUCUUAGAGGCUCACCUGAGAACACGUGACUUCACCUUAGACCAAACCUGGAGGCCUCAAGCCACCUGCAUUUGGAUGAUGAGAAACCACCACGUUAUCAGACUCAUUCAUCUUUGUAUCAACUUCAGCAAAAAGCAAUUAAACCAGGAAGCAGGGCAUAAUUCAUAGUUAUAGGAAAUCAUUUCAACUCUUCGGUACCCAAGUCAAAGACAAAAGGCAAGAGCUUUUUUGUGUAAAAUCUCUGUAGCAUAGAAAGUCUGCUAGACCUCCCUAGAAAGGACACAUUCCAGCAGCCUACGCAUAGACAUUUUCUCAGGCCUCCCCAUUUUUUCCUGAUCUCAUCCAUGUGUUUCUUCCAGCUUUGAUUGUAAAAUAAAAAUGAGAUUCAGAAAACCACAUAAAACAAACAUACAGCUGAAUGAGUUACCUUAAGAGGAAUAUCCCUGCACUCCUCACCCAGGUCAUAAAGAAGCUUUUCCCCCAUCCAGAGGCUUUCCCAAGCUCCCUCCCUCCCCAGGAAGGUGGCCACAUCCUGAUGUCCCUGGAAAUCGCCCCCUCACAUUUCUUCCUGGUGUGUCACCCUGGCCGCAUCCCUAGACACUGUUUCUAUCCAUUUGUCCAAGUCCAUCUCUUUCUUUGCCUUACAGUUUACCUGUUGAAGGUUCCCCUGUCGCUGGCCCUACUGCCCCACUCUCUGGUUGUGUUACCUGAGAUCGCUCCAAAUAUUAAUAAUUUAUACUCGGCCAGGUGCGGUGGCUCACACCUGUAAUCCCAGCACUUUGGGAGGCUGAGGCGGGUGGAUCACCUGAGGUCAGCAGUUCGAGACUAGCCUGGUCAACAUGGUGAAACUCCGUCUCUACUAAAAAUACAAAAAUUAGCCAGGCGUGGUGGCAGGCGCCUAUAGUCCCAGCCCCACUCAGGAGGCUGAGGCAGGAGAAUCGCUUGAACCCAGGAGGCGGAGGUUGCAGUGAGCCGAGAUCGCGCCACUGCACUACAGCCUGGGCAACAAGAGCAAAACUCUAUCUUAAUAAUAACAAUAAUAAUAAUAAUAAUAAUAGUUCAUACUCAAAUGCUCAUCUCAGGUACUGUGUGACAGGGCAGGUGUCGCUUCUAACCAGCCCAAUCCAAGAGAGCCUCUCCAACCACAGCCCCAGGUUAGGUGCCACCCACCCAAUGUGGCCUAGGCCAGCGUCUAGAUUGGGCCCUCAAGGACAGGACCAAUGUCCUCUGUCUUCCUCCCCACUGGCCACACAGAAGGGAGGGUGCAGUCAACUGUGGAGCAGACAGGAUUUGGGGUUCCGCAGAGCCACACAGCUGCGUGACCCUGUCCCUUUCCAGAGGGAGGAUCUCAUGGGCUGGCCAGGAUAAAGGGGAGUUAGAGGCUCUUGGAGAGAGUGGGAUGGUCCCAGAACCUCCUCACAAAAAUGGACAUUUGUAAAGCAGUGAAAGUUAAAUAAAUAAAUAAGAUGGGUCGUCAUCUGGCUCUGCCUUUAUUUUAACUUGCUUUGAGGAUGAAAGAGUCAAACCCUGGGGAGUGACCAGUUGUCUGAGAAAAAGAAGAAAAUGAGAGGCCCCUCGGGUCAUCUCUCCAAUGUAUGACCUGGUCUGGGCUCCCCUGAAUCUGCCCUGCUCCUUCCCGGCACUCAGGUUAGGAGAGGCUCCUUCUCUCCUUCUUCCUUUGGGGGUGACUUUCUGGAAGACACUCAACUGGCCUUCCUUAACUGAUAUGAGGCUUCCUGUAUGUUGUCCGUGCCAGUAAACUAUUUGACACUGAUUUUUUUUUUUUUGAGAUAGAGUCUCUGUCACAAGACUGGAGUGCAGUGGCGCAAUUUCAGCUCACUGCAACCUCUGACUCCCUGGUUCAAGCGAUUCUCCUGCCUCAGCCUCCCGAGUAGCUAGAAUUACAGGCACGUGCCACCACGCUCGGCUAAAUUUUUUGUAUUCUUAGUAGAGACGGGCUUUCACGACGUUGGCCAGGAUGGUCUCCAUCUCCUGACCUCGUGAUUCACCUGCUUUGGCCUCCCAAAGUGCUGGGAUUACAGGUGUGAGCCACCGCACCUGGCUAUUUGACACUUUCAUCCCCAAAUUAUAGCUGUUGUAAAAUAGUCCCAUUUUUUAAAGAGAGAAACCCACAUUCAUAUGCCUUUGGGUUUGGGUUUGAAGGAUGCUCUAAGCCCUGCAGUUGCUGCAAGUGCACUGGCUCAGUGGGUGGAAUCGGAAAGCUACUUCCUCUCUGUGAAGCGCUGAGCUCAGCUCAGAGCCACGGCCUCUGUGGGGGCACUUCUCCAGCUAAGCCACAUUUACAAACUUCAGCUUUCAAAGCAGUCUCCAAGCCCAAGCAACAGGGCUUCUGGAGAGCAGCUCAGCGAUGAAAUCACCCCCUAAUUAGCAACCUGAGAGAGGAUUACAUAAAAGACCCAAGAUAAUGUAAUGCUCUUUUUGAAGGUAAAAGAGAAAACUCUAAACUGUAUUACCUUUUUACCUUCUCUUCAUAUCAGAAAUCAUUGUGGGAAGCUCAUUCCUCUUUCUGCGCGUCCCCAUUCUCCUUUCCAAUCAGCCCUCCUCCCCCAACACAGGCACUUACAAAUUCUGGAAAUAUCACUGCUUUGAGAAAACAAAUAGGUUGUCAGGACAAGCGUCUCUAAAGGGAAAAUGGUUUUCCCUGGCAGGAUGAAAAACAUUAAAUCACAAGAAUUUCUGUCUAUGUGCUACCACCUGAAAUGGAAAAGUUUUGUUCAUUCCACCAGACAAACAGCUGAUGUUUAAGUCCUGACCCCGGGUGCAGUGAGGUCCUAAAGCGUAUAGCAUAACCAUCAGCAUGGCCCACUGUUGGGGGUAUGGGGAGGAGUGGAGACCAGGACCCCAUGGGCACUAGGGCCUGGGGAUCCCGCAACCAGGUUGUAAGCACCAAGGUGUUUCUUCCUGCCCAUUGUAUAAAGAAAGACCAUAGCAUUGCAGUAAAGAAAGAGUUUAAUAGAGACAAGGCCGUUCAUGACCAUGGGAGAUGGAAUUUAUACUCAAAUCAUCUUGUCCAAAGCUCGUGGGUUAGGGUUUUUUUGUUUUUUUGUUUUUGUUUGUUUGUUUGAGACAGUCUCGCUCUUUCGCCCAGGCUGAAGUGCAGUGGUGCAAUCUCGGCUCACUGCAACCUCCGCGCCUCAGGUUCAAGCAAUUCUCCUGCCUCAGCCUCCUGAGCAGCUGGGAUUAUAUGCGCCCCCCACCACACCUGGCUAAUUUUUUUGUAUUUUUAGUAGAGACAGGGUUUCGCUAUGUUGGCCAGGCUGAUCACCCGCCUAGAUCUCCCAAAGUGCUAGGAAGGAUUACAGGCGUGAGCCACCAUCCCCAACCAAGGGUUAGGGGUUUUUCUUUCCUUUUUUGUUUUUUUUUUUUUUUUUUUUUUUGAGAGGGAGUUUUUUGCUCUUGUUUCCCAGGCUGGAGUGCAAUGGCGCUGUCUCGGCUCACUGCAACCUCUGCUUCCCGGGUCCAAGUGAUUCUCCUGCCUCAGCCUCCCGCAUAGCUGGGAUUACAGGUGCCCGCCACCACACCCAGCUAAUUUUUUGUAUUUUUAGUAGAGAUGGGGCUUCAUCAUGUUGGCCAGGCUGGUCUGAAACUCCUGACCUCAGGUGAUCCACCCACUUCGGCCUCCCAAAGUGCUGUGAUUACAGGCAUGAGCCAACAUGCCCGGCCAGGAGUUUUUCAAAGGCAGUUUGGGGGAAGGGCUGUGGGUGGCUGCUGAUUGGCUGAGGUGGAGAUGAAAUCAUAGCAGGUGGAAGCUGCCCUCCUGCGAGCUCAAUAGCUUCUGGUGGGCCACAGGAGUGGGGUUGGUAGGUCCAGGUGGAACCAUAGAUGUCAGACAUGAAGAUAAAACUGAAAAGAUAUCUUAGGUUCUACAACAGUGAUAUUAUUUGCAGGAGUAAUUGGGGAAGUUGCAUAUCUUAAAACCUCAAGAAUAAUGGCUGACAAUCGUUUAUGUCUGCGCCUUAGCAGGACGCAGGCUCCUCUCCACCUCCCAGCCUGAUGGCCUCCCAUUAGCUUUACAAAAGCGGUUGAAUUUGGGGGGAGACCUAUUAACACUAUAUCCUAAAAGUCUCUCAAAGUUAGCUCAGCCCAAUAACCCAGGAAUAAUUAAGGGGAAGGCAAGACGCAGGGUGGGUUAGCUCAGAUCUCUUUCACUGUCAUACUUUUCUCACUGAUACAAUUUUUGCAAAAGCAGUUUCAAGAUCAUAGCAAGGGGCAGAAACCAGCUCCGCCCCACAUCUGAGCCCCCAAAGGAAUUCAGGUCGGGAGUCAGCAUCCACGGCCAGGGUCACUGGAGAAUUCAGGCUCAGAAAUCCUGCACAUGGGUGUCUAAACAUCUGUGGCUGACUUUAGUUCUUAUGGAACUGAAGACUUUUCUGAAGGGGAAAGAGGCCCCAUAGUGGGUAACCAGCCCCUAUUCUGUGCUUCUGCUGAGACGGCCCCUGGAUGCCAGUGAUCAGGCCAGAAUUGGGAUCCACUAGUAGGGACAUCCUGUCACCAGAAAGCAGGGAUGUUCCUGAAUAUUCCAUGAUCCCUUUCCUGAUGGCUGUGUCUAACCCACGUUUUCUCUACUCUUAGAUCCAAGCAAGGGAUUGGCUACCUGCCCCCCACAAGAUAUUUUAUUCACCUGACACGUCUUCUCAAUUGAGAUGAGCCCUUUUUUAACCAUCCAUAAACACAUUCAUGCACCAUAUGUUUCCGCCAACUACAGACGACAUAGACAACGGUGGUCCCCUAAGAUUAUGAUACCGUAUUUUUACUGUGCCUUUCUAUGUUUAGAUAUGAUAGAUACACACUUACCACUGUGCUCCAACUGCCUACAGUAUUGAGUACGUCACACACUGUACAGUUUUGUAGCCUAGGAGCAAUAGGCUUUAUCAUAUGGCCUCCUAGGUGAGUAGGAAGCCAUACCAUCUAGGUUUGUGUGAGUACACUCCAUGAUAUUCACAGGAUGACAAAAUCGCCUAGCACCACAUUUCUCUGAACAUAUUCCUGUCUGCCGGGCAUGGUGGCUCAUGCCUGUAAUCCCAGCACUUUGUGAGGCUGUGGUGAGUGGAUCAUCUGAGGUCAGGAGUUCAAGACCAGCCUGGCCAACAUGGUGAAACCUCAUCUCUGCUUACAAAAUAAAACAUUAAAAAAUAAAUAAAUAAAUUAGCAUGGCCAGGUGUGGUGGCUCACGCCUGUAAUCCCAGCAUUUUGGGAGGCCGAGGUGGGCGGAUCACCUGAGGUUGGGAGUUUGAGACCAGCCUGACCAACAUGUAGAAGCCCCAUCUCUACUAAAAAUACAAAAUUAGCCAGACAUGGUGGCACAUGCCUGUAAUCCCAGCUACUUGGGAGGCUGAGGCAGGAGAAUCGCUUGAACCCAGGAGGCGGAGGUUGCGGUGAGCCAAGACGGCACCAUUGCACUCCUGCAGCCUGGGCAACAAGAGCGAAACUCCAUCACAAAAUAAAUAAAUAAAUAAAUUAGCUGGGCAUGGUGGUGCAACGCCUGCAGUUCCAACUACUUAAGAGACUGAGGCAGGAGAAUCACUUGCACCCAGGAGGCAGAGGUUGCAGUGAGGGGAGAUUGCGCCAUUGCACUCCAGCCUGGGCGACGGAGCAAGACUGCCUCAAAAAAAAAAAAAAAAAAACCACCAAAAAAAGCACAUAUUCCUGUCAUUAACUGACACAUGACUGCUCCAGUAUGUUAUCUCUAAACAUAUAAGACUCUUUUAAAAAAUUUAACUACAGUGCCAUUACCACACCUACUAAAAAGUAAAAUAAUUCUUUAAUAACAUCCAGUGGCAAAGUAGGUUGCAGUUUACUCAAUGGCAAUUCCUCAUGUUCAAAUUCUCCCAAGUUUCAAAGGUUAAAAGGUUAAAAAGUCUUUUUUUUUUACACUUGGUUUGCUCAAGUGAGGACCCAAAGAAAACCACUCAUUAAAUGUGGUUGGUUGAACAAACAUAUGAAAAAAGUCAUCAUCACUGAUCAUUAGAGAAAUGCAAAUCAAAACCACAAUGAGAUACCAUCUCACGCCAAUUUGAAUGGCGAUCAUUAAAAAGGCAGGAAACAACAGAUGCUGGAGAAGAUGUGGAGAAAUAGGAAUGCUUUUACACUGUUGGAGGGAGUGUAAAUUAGUUCAGCCAUGGUGGAAGACAGUGUGGCGAUUCCUCAAGGAUCUAGAACUAGAAUUACCAUUUGACCCAGCAAUCCCAUUACUGGAUAUAUACCCAAAGGAUUAUAAAUAAUUCUACUAUAAAGACACACGCACACGUAUGUUUAUUGUGGUACUGUUCACAAUAGCAAAGACUUGGAACCAACCCAAAUGCCCAUCAAUGAUAGACUGGAUAAAGAAAAGGUGGCACAUAUAUACCAUGGAAUACUGUGCAGCCAUGAAAAAGGAUGAGUUCAUGUCCUUUGCAGGGACAUGGAUGAAGCUGGAAACCAUCAUUCUCAGCAAACUAACACAAGAACAAAAAACCAAACACCGCAUGUUCUCACUCAAAAGUGGGAACUGAACAAUGAGAACACAUGGACACAGGGAGGGGAACAUCACACACUGGGGCUUGUCGGGGGGUGGGGGACUAGGGGAGGGAUAGCAUUAGGAGGAAUACCUAAUGUAUAUGACGGGUUGAUGGGUGCCACAAACUACCAUGGCAUGUGUAUACUUAUGUGACAAACCUGCACAUUCUGCACAUGUACCCCAGAACUUAGAGUAUAAAAAAAAAAAGUGGUUGGCUAGGUUGGGUUCACACCUGUAAACCCAACACCUUGAGAGGCCAAGGUGGGCGGAUCAUUUGAGGUCAGGAGUUCAAGACCAGCCUGGUGUGGUGGCGCAUGCCUGUAGUCCCAGCUACUCAGGAGGCUGAGGCGGGAGAAUGGCUUGAACUUGGGAAGCAGAGGUUGCAGUGAGACUGCACCAAUGCACUCCAGCCUGGGUGACUGACUGAGACCCUGUCUCAAAAAGAAAGAAAGGAAGGAAGGAGGGAGGGAGGGAAGGAAGGAAGGAAGGAAGGAAGGAAGGAAGGAAGGAAGGAACAAAAUGUGGUUGAUCAGUCUCCAGGCCUCUUUCAAUGUAUUAAAGCCUCCCCCGCUACUUUUCCCCAUACUGUUUACUCACUGAAGAAGCCGAGUUGUUUAGCUUAGAGAAGUUUCCAGUCUGGAUUUGGCAGAUGGUUUACUUGUGGUGUCAUUAAUUUAUCCCUCCAUGCCUGGUUUCCUGUAAGACAUUGGUUUAAACUAGAGGGUCGGCCGGCAUGGUGGCUCACGCCUGUAAUCCCAGCACUUUGGGAGGCUGAGGCAGGUGGAUCACCUGAGGUUGGGAGUUUGAGACCAGCCUGGCCAACAUGGAGAAACCCCGUCUCUACUAAAAAUAAAAAAUGAGCCGGGCAUGGUGGUGCAUGCCUGUAGUCCCAGCUACUCGGGAGGCUAAGGCAGGAGAAUUGCUUGAACCCAGUGGGUGGAGGUUGCUGUGAGUAGAGAUUGCGCCAUUGCACUCCAGCUCUGGGCAACAAGAGCGAAACUCCAUCUCAAAAAAAAUUAAAAUUUAAAUUAAAAAAAUAAACUAGAGGGUUGAUUUUUUUUUUCUUUUAUUGGUGAGCUACCUCUUAGGUGAUGCUGAGUGCUUCCCACAGCAUCGCUUCCAUCAAAACUGAUCAGUGGUUUCAGGUGUUGUCAACCUGCUCUGUCCUUUAAAAGUUUUCCUCAAAAUUUCACCUACGGCUUUAGCAUCCACUGAUUAUUUUUGUCUCAAUCUGUUACUUCAGCCUGUUUAACAUGGUGACUUCCUAAUCCAAUCCUCCCUUUAGCUUUCUGCACUGACAUUUUUCCAUAAAGAAGACCUUUCCCUCCUCUGGUAUGGUUUCCCUGAGGUGCCGUUCAUGCAGAAAAAGCUGGAUACAUGUUUGACUCUUUAUGGAUUUUCAAAAUGAGUGACACCCACCAACCUUGAAAGGGAGCUAAUGCAUUUUAUUAAAUAUUUUUAUUAAUACAUAUGGCAUUUUAUAAAUUUGAUGUGCUUUGAUCCAUUGUAGCAGUUUUUCUUUCUAAUGUUCAAAUCAUUUCUUUGGCCAGUAGGACUCCUUUCAAAUUAGCUGUGUCCUUCUAAAAUGACCCAGAGCCGGGCGCAGUUGUUCAUGCCUGCAAUCCCAGCACUUUGGGAGGCCAAGGCAGACAGAUCACAAGGUUAGGAGUUUGAGACCAGCGUGGCCAACAUGGUGAAACCCCUUCUCUACUAAAGAUACAAAAAAUUAGCCGGGCAUGGUGGGACGCACCUGUAAUCCCAGCUACUCGGGAGGCUGAGGCAGGAGAAUUGCUUGAACCCGGGAGGUGGAGGUUGCAGUGAGCCAAGAUCAUGCCAGUGCACUCCAGCCUCAGUGACAGGGCGAGACUCCAUCUCAAAAAAAUAAAUAAAUAAAUAAUAAUAAAUAAAUAAAAUGACCCUCGUAGUUUUUGUUGUUUGGCACAAAAUGUGCCCCAGGUUUGUCUUGUGCAUUUCCUGCCCCAGACUGGAAUCAGCCAUUGCUCCAAAGAGCCCUACUCUUUUUUUAGAGGAAUACGGUAUUUAGCAACCAAAUCAUUAGAGAAUUAGAAGUGUUACAUGACAGAGGUCCCCAUCCAGACCCCAAGAGAGGGUUCCUGGGUCUCAUGUAAGAAAGAAUUCAGGGCGAGUCCACAGUGCAAAGUGAAAGCAAGUUUGUUAAGAAAGUAGAGGAAUAAAAGAACGGCUACUCCAAUGGCUGGGCGCAGUGGCUCAUGCCUGUAAUCCCAGCAUUUUGGAAGGCUGAAGUGAGCGGAUCGCAAGGUUAGGAGAUCGAGACCAGCCUGACCAACAUGAUGAAACCC